CAUUAUGUCAGAUUUUGAACGAGGACUACAGAAUGCUUUAAAAACAACUUGGAGUGAAAGCUUGGUGAAUGGUUGCAGGUUUCAUUUCGAAAAUGCAAUCACCAAGCAAUUAGCAAUUCUUGGUCUUCAGAGGGAAUACCGCCACCAAAUUCAAGUAAAGAAGU
Molecule: non-coding RNA, 164 nt
Organism: Hydra vulgaris (swiftwater hydra)
Lineage: Eukaryota; Metazoa; Cnidaria; Hydrozoa; Anthoathecata; Hydridae
Source: RefSeq, a predicted model, not a curated record